RNAcentral lists this ribosomal RNA (992 nucleotides) under uncultured bacterium. Its description in RNAcentral is "bacterial SSU rRNA". It matches the Rfam family "Bacterial small subunit ribosomal RNA", at positions 8 to 1011 of the family's 1533-position model. The record is from RNAcentral.
AGAGUUUGAUCAUGGCUCAGGACGAACGCUUGCGGCGUGCCUAAGAAAUGCAAGUCGAGCGGGAACAGGACUUCGGUUCUGCUCCAGCGGCGAACGGUCGCGUAACACGUAAGCAACCUGCCCCAGAGACCGGGAUAACCGCGCGAAAGCGCAGCUAAUACCGGAUGUGUCCCCCUGAAGACCUCUUCGGGGGAGUAAAUCACUUAGAUUGGCUCUGGGAGGGGCUUGCGGCCUAUCAGCUAGAUGGUGAGGUAAGGGCUCACCAUGGCGACGACGGGUAGCUGGUCUGAGAGGAUGGUCAGCCGGACUGGGACUGAGAGACGGCCCAGACUCCUACGGGGGGCAGCAAUUAGGAAUCUUGUGCAAUGGGGGCAACCCUGACACAGCGACGCCGCGUGGGGGAGGAAGGCCUUCGGGUUGUAAACCCCUUUUGUCGAGGAAGAAGCAAGUGACGGUACUCGACGAAUAAGCCCCGGCUAACUCCGUGCCAGCAGCCGCGGUAAUACGGAGGGGGCGAGCGUUGUCCGAAGUUACUGGGCGUAAAGGGCGCGUAGGCGGGAGGCCAAGUCCGCUGUGAAAGCCUGAGGCUCAACCUCAGCGGGUCGGUGGAGACUGGUCUUCUUGAAGGUGUCAGGGGGAGAUGGAAUUAUCGGUGUAGCGGUGAAAUGCGUAGAUAUCGAUAGGAACACCAGUGGCGAAGGCGGUCUCCUGGGGCAUUCUUGACGCUGAGGCGCGAAAGCUGGGGGAGCGAACGGGAUUAGAUACCCCGGUAGUCCCAGCCCUAAACGAUGGAUACUAGGUGUGGGGGGUAUCGACCCCUCCCGUGCCGUCGCUAACGCAGUAGUAUCCCGCCUGGGGAGUACGGCCGCAAGGUUGAAACUCAAAGGGAUUGACGGGGCCCCGCACAAGCGGUGGAGCAUGUUGUUUAAUACGUCACUAACCGUAGACCCUUACCAGGAUUUGAAAUCCUGCGAAACUUCCAUGAAAGUGGA